Molecule: ribosomal RNA, 472 nt
Filed under: uncultured bacterium
Lineage: Bacteria
Description: bacterial SSU rRNA
Rfam family: Bacterial small subunit ribosomal RNA
Source: RNAcentral
UGGGGAAUAUUGGACAAUGGGCGCAAGCCUGAUCCAGCCAUGCCGCGUGAGUGAAGAAGGCCUUCGGGUUGUAAAGCUCUUUCGGCGGGGACGAAACGGUUCGUGACAACACCACGGACUAAUGACGGUACCCGCAUAAGAAGCACCGGCUAACUACGUGCCAGCAGCCGCGGUAAUACGUAGGGUGCGAGCGUUAAUCGGAAUUACUGGGCGUAAAGCGUGCGCAGGCGGUUCGCCAAGUCAGGUGUGAAAUCCCCGGGCUUAACCUGGGAAUUGCGCUUGAAACUAGCGGGCUUGAGUGUGGCAGAGGGGGGUGGAAUUCCACGUGUAGCAGUGAAAUGCGUAGAGAUGUGGAGGAACACCGAUGGCGAAGGCAGCCCCCUGGGUCAACACUGACGCUCAUGCACGAAAGCGUGGGGAGCAAACAGGAUUAGAUACCCCCGUAGUCCCUGAGCGGGCUGGCAAGGCGCAU